RNAcentral lists this ribosomal RNA (378 nucleotides) under Triticum aestivum (bread wheat). Its description in RNAcentral is "partial small subunit ribosomal RNA". Lineage: Eukaryota; Viridiplantae; Streptophyta; Magnoliopsida; Poales; Poaceae. The record is from RNAcentral.
AUGUCAAGCUCCGAUACUUGCCCAUUUUGCAAUGAGCAAGAAACCACAAGUCACUUACUGUUGAACUGCCACUCCAUCAAGUUGCUUUGGGACAAUCUUCUUCUUCUUCGGCCUCCAGAAGUCGAACAUAUUCAAGAUAUUUGGUCUAACCCUUCAAUUGAUAAAGUUCGCUCUACAGUUAUCAUUGCCAUUCUUUGGUCUAUUUGGAAGCGGAGAAAUGUUAUGGUCUUCCAUGCUCACGAUGAGGAUCUGUAUGUCACUCUACGACGAUCUGGAGAGGAUCUUGUGUUCUGGUCUAAUCGCUGCAAAAAUGCGGUCAAGCAGACCCUUCUAAAGGACUGGGGUUCCAUGUUGUAUCACUUAUCUACGAGAAUUUAG